This 253-nucleotide ribosomal RNA is filed under the name uncultured bacterium. RNAcentral's name for it is "partial 16S ribosomal RNA". It matches the Rfam family "Bacterial small subunit ribosomal RNA", at positions 524 to 776 of the family's 1533-position model. The record is from RNAcentral. RNAcentral also lists the same sequence under 1 other name.
UACGUAGGUGGCAAGCGUUGUCCGGAUUUACUGGGCGUAAAGGGCGUGCAGGCGGUCUGUUAAGUCUAGGGUGAAAGCUCCCGGCUCAACUGGGAGAGGUCCUUGGAUACUGGCGGACUUGAGGGAGGCAGAGGAGAAUAGAAUUCCCGGUGUAGUGGUGAUAUGCGUAGAUAUCGGGAGGAAUACCAGUGGCGAAGGCGGUUCUCUGGGCCUUACCUGACGCUGAGACGCGAAAGCGUGGGGAGCGAACCGG